RNAcentral lists this ribosomal RNA (501 nucleotides) under Ericerus pela. RNAcentral describes it as "partial 28S ribosomal RNA". Lineage: Eukaryota; Metazoa; Arthropoda; Insecta; Hemiptera; Coccidae. The record is from RNAcentral.
ACAGAGCCCGUGAAUCCGGGCGCGCGGAAUUCAGGAUCGACGGCGCGCGCGCGCGUUACUAGCGUGGCGUCGCGCGCGUCGUCGAUUCGAUAUUUCCGCCGCCGACCCGCUUCAAACGGGUGCGGACGUCGCGACCCGUUCGCCGCCGGUCUCACGGGGCGCGUUUCAAGUUCGUCGCGCGUCGUUUCGUGCGCGCGUCCCUCGGGUCGCGCGCGCGAUGACGCGCGGCGAUGGCGCGCUUUUCGCGGGCCGGCGUUUUGCGGACGGUAGCCUCGAGCGUGCGGGUAAUCGACGCGGCCGAACGGCGAACGGUCGAACGUUCGUCGGGCGUGCGCGUCGACGCCGGUCAGCGACGAAUCUUCGGGCCUCUUUCCGACCCGUCUUGAAACACGGACCAAGGAGUCUAACGUGCGCGCGAGUCGCGGGGUAUCCGAGUCGGUAACGCGACUCGUCACGAUACGAAACCCGUGUGUACGUACGUUGUGCGAAGGCGUAAUGAAA